RNAcentral lists this ribosomal RNA (434 nucleotides) under uncultured Alphaproteobacteria bacterium. RNAcentral describes it as "partial 16S ribosomal RNA". It matches the Rfam family "Bacterial small subunit ribosomal RNA", at positions 423 to 873 of the family's 1533-position model. Lineage: Bacteria; Pseudomonadati; Pseudomonadota; Alphaproteobacteria. The record is from RNAcentral.
UCGUAAAGCACUUUCGCCAGGGAUGAUAAGGACAGUACCUGGUAAAGAAACCCCGGCUAACUCCGUGCCAGCAGCCGCGGUAAUACGGAGGGGGUUAGCGUUGUUCGGAAUUACUGGGCGUAAAGCGUACGUAGGCGGAUCAGAAAGUUGGGGRUGAAAUCCCGGGGCUCAACCCCGGAACUGCCUCCAAAACUCCUGGUCUUGAGUUCGAGAGAGGUGAGUGGAAUUCCAAGUGUAGAGGUGARRUUCGUAGAUAUUUGGAGGAACACMASKGCCGAAGGCGGCUCACAUGGCUCGRUACUGACGCUGAGGUACGAAAGUGUGGGGAGGACAMACAGGAKUAGAUACCCKGAGUAGWCCACACCGUAAACGAUGAAUGCMAGUCRUCGGGCAGUAUACUGUUCGUGACACACUAACGGAUUAAGCAUUCCGCC